This 604-nucleotide ribosomal RNA is filed under the name uncultured bacterium. Its description in RNAcentral is "bacterial SSU rRNA". It matches the Rfam family "Bacterial small subunit ribosomal RNA", at positions 278 to 898 of the family's 1533-position model. The record is from RNAcentral.
GAUCGGUAGGUGGUCUGAGAGGACGAUCACCCAGACUGGGACUGAGACACGGCCCAGACUCCUACGGGAGGCAGCAGUCGGGAAUUUUGCGCAAUGGACGAAAGUCUGACGCAGCAACGCCGCGUGAGGGAUGAAGGCCUUCGGGUUGUAAACCUCUUUUAUCAGGGAAGAUAAUGACGGUACCUGAUGAAUAAGUCACGGCUAACUACGUGCCAGCAGCCGCGGUAAUACGUAGGUGACAAGCGUUGUCCGGAUUUACUGGGCGUAAAGAGCGCGCAGGCGGUCGAUCAAGUCGAGUGUGAAAGCCCCCGGCUCAACUGGGGAGGGUCAUUCGAUACUGAUCGACUCGAAGGCAGGAGAGGGUAGUGGAAUUCCCGGUGUAGUGGUGAAAUGCGUAGAUAUCGGGAGGAACACCAGUGGCGAAGGCGACCACCUGGCCUGUUCUUGACGCUGAGGCGCGAAAGCUAGGGGAGCAAACGGGAUUAGAUACCCCGGUAGUCCUAGCCGUAAACGAUGGACACUAGGUGUUGGUGGUAUCAACCCCGCCAGUGCCGAAGCUAACGCAUUAAGUGUCCCGCCUGGGGAGUACGGCCGCAAGGCUAAA